GGUUCGAUCCUGGCUCAGAUUGAAGCUGGCGGGAUGCUUUACACAUGCAAGUCGAACGGCAGCAAUGGACUUCGGUCUGGUGGCGAGUGGCGAACGGCAGCAAUACUGGAAUCGCCGGUAUGGUGAUAACUACGGGCGAAAGCGUAGCUAAUACCGCACAAUGUCCUUCGGGGAAAGCGACCUUCGGCCUCGCACUAUUAGAGCGGCCGAUAUCGGAUUAGCUUGCUGGUGGGGUAACGGCUCACCAAGGCGACGAUCCGUAGCUGGUUUGAGAGGACGACCAGCCACACUGGGACCGAGACACGGGUCAGAGACUCCUACGGGAGGCAGCAGUGGGGAAUUUUGGACAAUGGGGAAACCUUGAUCCUGCGCUACUCCGCGUGUGCGACAAGGCUUUGUCAAAAAAGCACUUUUGGCAGGGAGAAAGAAACGUAUCAGACAAUACCCCGCGUAACUGACGGCCUGCAGAAUAAGCACCGGCUAACUACGUGCCAGCAGCCGCGGGUAGAAUACGUAGGUGCAAGCGUUAAUCGGAAUUACUGGGCGUAAAGCGUGCGCAGGCGGUUCGGAAAAGAAAGAUGAAAUCCCAGAGCUUAACUUUGAACUGCAUUUUUAACUACCGAGCUAGAGUGUGUCAGAGGGAGGUGAAUUCCGCGUGUAGCAGUGAAAUGCGUAGAUAUGCGGAGUGAACACCGAUGGCGAAGGCAGCCUCCGGGGAUAACACUGACGCUCAUGCACGAAAGCGUGGGGAGCAAAACAGGAUUAGAUACCCUGGUAGUCCACGCCCUAAACGAUGUCAACUAGCUGUUGGGGCCUUGGCCCAGCAGCUAACGCGUGAAGUUGACCGCCUGGGGAGUACGGUCGCAAGAUUAAAAAACUCAAAGGAAUUGACGGGGACCCGCACAAGCGGUGGAUGAUGUGGAUUAAUUCAUGCAAAUGCGAAACUCUUACCUACCUUUGGGAUAUGUCUGGAAUCCCGAAGAGAGCUCUGGGAGUGCUCGCAAGAGAACCGGAACACAGGUGCUGCAUUGGGCUGUCGUCAGCUCGUGUCGUGAGAUGUUGGGUUAAGUCCUGCAACGAGCAGCAACCUCGGCUAAGAAGGCACAGUGGCACCUAAUGACUGCCAGACAAACCGGAGGAAGGUGGGGAGAUGACGUCAAGUCCUCGCGGCCCUUAUGGGUAGGGCUUCACACGUCAUACAAUGGUCGGGACAGAGGGUCGCCAACCCGCGAGGGGAGCCAAUCCCAGAAACCCGAUCGUAGUCCGAUCGUAGUCUGAACCGACCGCGUAGUCGAACCGGUGACCGCGGAUCAGCAUGUCGCGGUGAAUACGUUCCCGGUCUUGUACACACCGCCCGUCACACCAUGGGAGUGGGUUUUACCAGAAGUAGUUAGCCUAACCGUAAGGAGGGCGAUUACCACGGUAGGAUUCAUGACUGGGGUGGUUGUAACAAGGUAA
This 1458-nucleotide ribosomal RNA is filed under the name uncultured Bordetella sp. RNAcentral's name for it is "partial 16S-23S ribosomal RNA intergenic spacer". It matches the Rfam family "Bacterial small subunit ribosomal RNA". Lineage: Bacteria; Pseudomonadati; Pseudomonadota; Betaproteobacteria; Burkholderiales; Alcaligenaceae. The record is from RNAcentral.